GGAGGGAUUGGUUUCGUAACGCCCAUUGGAGAUUACAAGUCUAUAACCUUCCGAGGAAUCACAGUCCUCGCCCUUCUAGAACUGGGAACAAUUGGAACUGCAUACCCCUGGUCAUGUGACAUAGGAUUCGAACCUGGGUUAUCGCUAUCAUUCCAUGAUUCAUGUGGCAAAGUAUUCAAAUCUGGGUUGUCAUGAUCAUUUUGUGAUUCAUCAGACAACACAUCCAGCCAACUAACUCUUGGUUUACCAAUAUACUGCUUCAAGUGAUCAACAUGGCAGACUUUAAUGGCACCGUCCUGACUCAAUUGAAUUUUGGGCACCAGGUGGCGGACCAACCAUUACAUCAAUGGGCAGAUCUAUAUCUCGGCCUAACAUGACUUUGUUCGGAGUGCAACCAGUACUGCUAUGCUGUGUAGCACGAUAGGCAGCCAUAACAUAGGGAAGAUGAUCAUCCCAGUCAUCCUGAUUUUCAUUAACAAACAUCUUCAACAUUGAAAUCACCGUACGGUUACACCGUUCAAUCAUGCCAUCAGACUUCGGAUUGUAAGCACACGUUCGAGUCUUUUCACUGCCCACGAGUUCACACAAGGAGGAAAAUAGCCUAGAUUCAAAGUUCCUGCCCUGAUCAGUGUGUAUCUGAGAAGGAAAACCAAAUAACAAGAACACCUGAGUAACCAAGAUGUCUGCUACUGUGAAUGCAGUCUGAUUUGGCAUUGCAAAAGCCAUUUUCCAUUUACUAAAAUAGUCUCCACAAACCAGAAUAUACUCGUUCCCAUUUUUGCUUUGUUUUAAGGGACCUACUAUGUCAAGUGCGAAAAUCUGCAUUACUCGAGUGGGUUUUAUUUGUGAAAGUUCAUGUUUCCCUAACCCUGGGCCAGGCUUGCCACGAGCACAGAAAUCACAUUGUUUAAUCCACAGAGCAACAUCAUCAUUCAUUCCCGGCCAGAAAAAGCGGCGCUUAAUGGCUUCAAGAGUUCUGUCCCUUCCUAAGUGCCCAGCAUAUCUUUGUGAAUGUAAUUCAGUGAAAAUAAUGUUUCUAAUCUCCUGUGGAGCAACAAGAACAAGUACAGAAUUCCCGGAAGAUUCAACAUGCCUGUAAUACAACACAGAAUUCUCGAUAACCAACAUCUCCCAGCAAUGCCACAGCUUGACAACAUUCGGCUCGGGAAAAGUCAACUCCGACCUUUCAGGUUUACCCUGAUGAACAGAUUUUAAAUGCAAAAUUUCGGAAAUGACUUUGUCUGAACUUUGUAGCUUAUGUAUUUGAUCAGUUGACCAAUUUGUUAUCCAGUUAGGCAUGCAUUUAUCUGUUAAAUCUACAUUUACGUCUGUAUCCCCUUUCCCCAUAUCUGAUAUUAUAUUUGUGAAAUUCA
Mya arenaria is the source of this 1373-nucleotide long non-coding RNA. RefSeq lists it as uncharacterized. The transcript has 3 exons. The record is from RefSeq and is a predicted model, not a curated record. NCBI's taxonomy places the organism in Eukaryota, Metazoa, Mollusca, Bivalvia, Myida, Myidae.